Non-coding RNA from Glossina fuscipes fuscipes, 98 nucleotides. NCBI's taxonomy places the organism in Eukaryota, Metazoa, Arthropoda, Insecta, Diptera, Glossinidae. The record is from Rfam.
GGAGGUAGUUUUUAGUAAGUAUGCGUCAGGGAUGGCGAAUCGUGCAUGCUGCUAUCUUCAUAAGACCCAGCAGUAUCUUUUGAAGAUUUUCUACCUCC